UCUGGGACAAGCCCUGGAAACGGGGUCUAAUACCGGAUAACACUCCUGCACGCAUGGCUGGGGGUUGAAAGCUCCGGCGGUGAAGGAUGAGCCCGCGGCCUAUCAGCUUGUUGGUGAGGUAGAAGCUCACCAAGGCGACGACGGGUAGCCGGCCUGAGAGGGCGACCGGCCACACUGGGACUGAGACACGGCCCAGACUCCUACGGGAGGCAGCAGUGGGGAAUAUUGCACAAUGGGCGAAAGCCUGAUGCAGCGACGCCGCGUGAGGGAUGACGGCCUUCGGGUUGUAAACCUCUUUCAGCAGGGAAGAAGCGAAAGUGACGGUACCUGCAGAAGAAGCGCCGGCUAACUACGUGCCAGCAGCCGCGGUAAUACGUAGGGCGCAAGCGUUGUCCGGAAUUAUUGGGCGUAAAGAGCUCGUAGGCGGUCUGUCACGUCGGAUGUGAAAGCCCGGGGCUUAACCCCGGGUCUGCAUUCGAUACGGGCAGACUAGAGUGUGGUAGGGGAGAUCGGAAUUCCUGGUGUAGCGGUGAAAUGCGCAGAUAUCAGGAGGAACACCGGUGGCGAAGGCGGAUCUCUGGGCCAUUACUGACGCUGAGGAGCGAAAGCGUGGGGAGCGAACAGGAUUAGAUACCCUGGUAGUCCACGCCGUAAACGGUGGGAACUAGGUGUUGGCGACAUUCCACGUCGUCGGUGCCGCAGCUAACGCAUUAAGUUCCCCGCCUGG
This 727-nucleotide ribosomal RNA is filed under the name Streptomyces sp. RNAcentral's name for it is "bacterial SSU rRNA". It matches the Rfam family "Bacterial small subunit ribosomal RNA", at positions 137 to 876 of the family's 1533-position model. The record is from RNAcentral. Lineage: Bacteria; Bacillati; Actinomycetota; Actinomycetes; Kitasatosporales; Streptomycetaceae.